Molecule: ribosomal RNA, 407 nt
Filed under: uncultured bacterium
Lineage: Bacteria
Description: partial 16S ribosomal RNA
Rfam family: Bacterial small subunit ribosomal RNA
Source: RNAcentral
AUUGAACGCUGGCGGCAUGCCUAACACAUGCAAGUCGAGCGGAGCGGCGGACGGGUAAGUAAUGCCUAGGAAUCUGCCUGGUAGUGGGGGAUCACGUCCGGAAACGGAAGCCAAUAACGCAUACUAGCAGAUGAGCCUAGGUCGGAUUAGCUAGUUGGUGGGGUAGAGGACUACCAAGGCGACGAGCCAUAACUGGUCUGAGAGGAUGAUCAGUCACACUGGAACUGAGACACGGUCCAGACUCCUACGGGAGGCAGCAGUAGGGAAUAUUGGGCAAUGGGCGAAAGCCUGAUCGAGCCAUGCCGCGUGUGUGAAGAAGGUUUUCGGAUUGUAAAGCACUUUAGGUUGGGAGGCGUUACCAACAGAAUAAGCAACGGCUAACUUCGUGCCAGCAGCCGCGGUAAUUC